RNAcentral lists this ribosomal RNA (321 nucleotides) under uncultured eukaryote. RNAcentral's name for it is "partial 18S ribosomal RNA". It matches the Rfam family "Eukaryotic small subunit ribosomal RNA", at positions 1470 to 1796 of the family's 1831-position model. The record is from RNAcentral.
CCCUUAGAUGUUCUGGGCCGCACGCGUGCUACACUGAGUGAUCAGCGGGUCAGGUUGCGCGAAAGUGUUUCCUAAUCUUUAAAUCCGCUCGUGAUGGGGAUUGACGGUUGCAAUUUUCCGUCAUGAACGAGGAAUACCUUGUAAGCGCGGGUCAUCAUCCCGCGCUGAAUACGUCCCUGCCCUUUGUACACACCGCCCGUCGCUCCUACCGAUUGAGUGGUCCGGUGAGGCUUUGGGAUCUGAGCGGAAAGAGCGUUUCGCUGUUUCUGCCCGGAAAACUCAGUCGAACCUUAUCAUUUAGAGGAAGGAGAAGUCGUAACA